RNAcentral lists this ribosomal RNA (462 nucleotides) under uncultured bacterium. RNAcentral describes it as "bacterial SSU rRNA". It matches the Rfam family "Bacterial small subunit ribosomal RNA", at positions 337 to 796 of the family's 1533-position model. The record is from RNAcentral.
UCCUACGGGAGGCAGCAGUGAGGAAUAUUGGUCAAUGGACGGAAGUCUGAACCAGCCAAGUAGCGUGCAGGAUGACGGCCCUAUGGGUUGUAAACUGCUUUUAUAUAGGGAUAAAGUCGGGGACGUGUCCCCGUUUGUAGGUACUAUAUGAAUAAGGACCGGCUAAUUCCGUGCCAACAGCCGCGGUAAUACGGAAGGUCCAGGCGUUAUCCGGAUUUAUUGGGUUUAAAGGGAGCGCAGGCUGAUGAUUAAGCGUGACGUGAAAUGUAGCCGCUCAACGGCUGAACUGCGUCGCGAACUGGUUAUCUUGAGUGAGUUCGAUGUUGGCGGAAUUCGUGGUGUAGCGGUGAAAUGCUUAGAUAUCACGAAGAACUCCGAUUGCGAAGGCAGCCAACAAGGCCUUUACUGACGCUAAAGCUCGAAGGUGCGGGUAUCGAACAGGAUUAGAUACCCUGGUAGUCC